GGGGGAAUGGCGGAACUGGCAGACGCGCAUGACUUAGGAUCAUGUCUCUUACGAGGUGAGGGUUCGAGUCCCUCUUUCCCCAACA
Molecule: transfer RNA, 85 nt
Filed under: Chloroflexota bacterium
Lineage: Bacteria; Bacillati; Chloroflexota
Description: Chloroflexi bacterium (sediment metagenome) tRNA-Leu
Rfam family: tRNA
About the family: Transfer RNA (tRNA) molecules are approximately 80 nucleotides in length.
Source: RNAcentral